CUACGGGUUGCUCCAGGCGAGAAACCUUUGCAAUGUGCGCAAGCACGACAAGGUUAAUCCGAGUGUUUCCUGCUAAAGGAAUCUUUUGUUAGUCCUAAAAACACUAGCGAAUAAGGGGUGGGCAAGUUCUGGUGUCAGCCGCCGCGGUAAAACCAGCACCUCAAGUGGUCAGGAGGAUUAUUGGGCCUAAAGCAUCCGUAGCCUGCUCUGUAAGUUUCCGGUUAAAUCCAUUCGCUUAACUGAUGGGCCGCCGGAAAAACUACAAAGCUAGGGAGUGGGAGAGGUAGACGGUACUCGGUAGGAAGGGGUAAAAUCCUUUGAUCUAUUGAUGACCACCUGUGGCGAAGGCGGUCUACCAGAACACGUUCGACGGUGAGGGAUGAAAGCUGGGGGAGCAAACCGGAUUAGAUACCCGUGUAGUC
This 422-nucleotide ribosomal RNA is filed under the name uncultured archaeon. Its description in RNAcentral is "partial 16S ribosomal RNA". It matches the Rfam family "Archaeal small subunit ribosomal RNA", at positions 323 to 746 of the family's 1478-position model. The record is from RNAcentral.